GACGAACGCUGGCGGCGUGCUUAACACAUGCAAGUCGAACGGUGAAGCGCCUUCCUUUUUGGUGGGUGUGGAUGAGUGGCGAACGGGUGAGUAACACGUGAGUAACCUGCCCCCUUCUUCUGGAUAACCGCAUGAAAGUGUGGCUAAUACGGGAUAUUCUGGGUCUGUCGCAUGAUGGGUCUGGGACAGAUAUUGUUUCGGUGGGGGAUGGGCUCGCGGCCUAUCAGCUUGUUGGUGGGGUGAUGGCCUACCAAGGCGGUGACGGGUAGCCGGCCUGGGAGGGUGGACGGUCACACUGGGACUGAGACACGGCCCAGACUCCUACGGGAGGCAGCAGGGGGGAAUAGUGCACAGUGGGCGCAAGCCUGAUGCAGCGACGCCGCGGGAGGGAUGGAGGCCUGCGGGUUGUGAACCUCUUUCGCCAGUGAAGCAGGCCUGCCUCGUUUGUGGGUGGGUUGACGGUAGCUGGAUAAGAAGCGCCGGCUAACUACGUG
This 494-nucleotide ribosomal RNA is filed under the name uncultured bacterium. RNAcentral's name for it is "partial 16S ribosomal RNA". It matches the Rfam family "Bacterial small subunit ribosomal RNA", at positions 28 to 507 of the family's 1533-position model. The record is from RNAcentral.